CUCUAAUUUCAAAGCUCUGCCCUCAUUCGUAAUUAAAACCACUGAUUUUCAUUUAAAAUUCAAAAAACCUCUGCUCACAUUCAAAAUUCAAAAUUUUGGCUCCAGAUUCAAAAUUUAAACAAUAUAGAUAUAUAACAUACUCUCUUCUUCAAUCAAUUACUCUCUCUUUAUAUUCAUUCACCACUUUCUCUCUCUAAAAACUUCUCUACGCUUUUGUCACCAGUACCGCCCAACCUGCAAACCCUCACUCGCUUGCUGCCUCAAAAUCCCUCGCUCGCUUGCUGCCUCAAAACCCCUCGCUCGCUUGCUGCCUCAAAACCCCAGAUCCAACGUCCCCGAUUCACACUCCUGCCGGCGGCAAUCAACUUCCACCGGUUGCUUUAUCCUACUUUUGUUUUGUGAAAGCUUCCUUCUUAUUACUGCAAUUAUUAGUUUAGUUCACAGUUUGAUGAUUUCGAAUUUUAUUCAAGCUUCCUUUCCAAUUUUUAUAGCAGGUGUUUGAAUUUUGCUUUUGUUAGAUUUAGGGUUCAUUUGGACCGCCUACCAAUUAGGUAAAAUUGAAUCGGUUGACUUUACAACACUGAUCUGAAUAAUGAAAUGUUUAAGAAUGAAUCACCAUUUGUAAGUGACUAUUGAAGAAGUCAGUAUGUAUGAUUUAAAAAUUGAGUAAAGAUCACACACAGAUUCAAGUCUUUCCAAGCUGAAUUAUGUGUCAUUUUGUUUGCAGAAAUGUCCUUCUUGACGACCCAAUUUUUCGGUGACAUAAACACUUAGGUUGCAUUCCCACUUAUGGACGACAACUUUUCAUUUUCAGGUCUGAAGUAAAUACACACCUUAUCAAAUAUUCACACGACGAAACACUUUCUUUAUACACUGAAUCAAUUUGGGAAAUGACAGAAUUAUUCAGCCAUACCGCUUCCAGACAGUUAUCACAAAUGUUUUUUGCAGUACUCUUCUAACCGAUCGAUCUUCUGGUGCAGGUUUGUUUAGCUUUGUGAAUACCCAAUCUGAUUCGGAAAUAGCAAAUACGUCAAAGGAGUGUGCUGUUGAACUAAUUGACAUGCGUGUCACAAUUGGAAUGAAGAAUUGAAAUACCUAUUCACACAGUUGGGUCGAAAAACGGUGAUCGUGCACCAGCUACUCACAAGGGUUACCAGUAUUUAUCAUUGUGGAUACUGAGAGAGGAAUGCAAGAUGGACAAGUAAGCCAUUUUAAUGUUGCUUCGUGUAAUUGCAUAGCAUCUGGUUUCAUUUACUUUCUGUGAACCCAUUUCAUUAACAUCCAAGAUGUUGACCACCAAGAGUUCUUCAGUGGUUAUAGUGAAGUCAACCCAGCAGCGAAGAUAGAUUCAGACAGCUGUUG
This is a long non-coding RNA of Helianthus annuus (common sunflower), 1362 nucleotides long. RefSeq lists it as uncharacterized. Lineage: Eukaryota; Viridiplantae; Streptophyta; Magnoliopsida; Asterales; Asteraceae. The record is from RefSeq and is a predicted model, not a curated record. The transcript is spliced from 3 exons.